AACGAACGCUGGCGGCAGGCCUAACACAUGCAAGUCGAGCGCCCUUUCGGGGGAGCGGCGGGCGGGUGAGUAUCGCGUGGGAAUAUGCCCUUCUCUACGGAAUAGCCUCGGGACACUGAGAGUACUACCGUAUACGCCCUGUGGGGGAAAGAUUUAUCGGGGAAGGAUUAGCCCGCGUCGGAUUAGGUCGUUGGUGGGGUAAUGGCCUACCAUGCCGACGAUCCAUAGCUGGGUUGAGAGGAUGAUCAGCCACACUGGGACUGAGACGCGGCCCAGACUCCUACGGGAGGCAGGAGUGGGGGAUCGUAGACAAUGGGGGCAACCCUGAUCGAGCCAUGCCGGGUGAGUGAUGAAGGCCUUAGGGUAGUAAAGCUCUUUCAGCUGGGAAGAUAAUGACGGUACCAGCAGAAGAAGCCCCGGCUAACUCCGUG
This 431-nucleotide ribosomal RNA is filed under the name uncultured bacterium. Its description in RNAcentral is "partial 16S ribosomal RNA". It matches the Rfam family "Bacterial small subunit ribosomal RNA", at positions 29 to 507 of the family's 1533-position model. The record is from RNAcentral.